Molecule: long non-coding RNA, 3118 nt
Organism: Homo sapiens (human)
Lineage: Eukaryota; Metazoa; Chordata; Mammalia; Primates; Hominidae
Exons: 3
Source: RefSeq, a predicted model, not a curated record
AGCGGGGUCAAGGGACAGCCACGCUGGGACGGAGGACGGGGACAGGGGAGCCCCUGCGGCGCCACUUCUUCCUCUCCGAGUCCUGUCUGCCCUUGAUGGAGCCACUGGUGGGGUUACUUGCUGGCGGUCGGCCACUUUCGCCCCUCCCUCGCCAGCCCGCCAGCUCCCUAAGGUUUUGUGGUUUUUUGUCACCACCACACCUCAGUGUUGAGCUAAGUGAGGACGUCCCCCCAGCAAAUGUAUUGGACGGAAGGAAACGGUGUGCGGGAGGAGGCGGAGGAAAGUAGGCCACCCGGGGCUCAAGUGGUGAGAAGAGGCAGCCAGGCAGGGUGGCAGGUGGGGUGUGGCCAGCUUGUUGGGUGUCCCACCCUGUGCUGUUGGGGGCGUGGAGGGUAGUGUGGGGUGGCCAGGGCGGGCUCAUGUCCUCAUCCCCCUCCUCUUUCCCAGAACCACACCCAAACCCUCUUCAACCCCCUGUGUGUGGGCUGUGGCAGGGGUCAACCUCUUGUGUUCAGGUCCCCUAGGGGCCCACCCCACUCUACUAGGAACCAGGGGUCGGAUGCUGUCAGGGGAAGCCGUGUGGCUUGAGGAGUCGAGACCCUUUCCAAAUCCACCCCUGUGGAAUCUUGAGCAAAUCCCCACACCCAACUUAGCUUCAAUGUGGUGGAGGUGGGCCCAGCGCCUCUCUUGAGGGAGUGCUGCUGUAGGUACCUUCCAGCAGGCCAGGCUCCUGAGCUGGGAUCACCAUGAAGCUGGCAUCUCUCCUGGUAGCACCUAUUCUGGGGCCUUGAGCUCCGACACUCUUACGCUGGAGUUGAACUUAAGCUGCAGCGGGAGGGCUUUAAGCUAGACCCGCAGAAUUUGAGCGCUAAGGACUUGCUUAAGAUUGGGAGAGUAACUUCUUCUGCAAGGGGGCCAGCAGAGGGGCUCUCGGGUUGAAGGAGGGUUAUGCUGGCCCAAGCAUUGCCAUCAUAGCCACAGCUGGGCUGUGCCUCAGAGUCUGCAGGAGCAGGGCCCUUGGCCUUGGCUCCCAGGACAGUUGGGAGAUGGAGGGCAGCCCCAGUAGCUGCCAUCUUCCUGUCAUCUACCCACACGUCUCCAGAUCUGUUUGCCUGCAUCAGGGCCUGACUCCUGCCCCACAUGGGCCUGUGUACCAUUCAAGAAGAAAGCUUAGCUGUCUCCAACCCCGGCAUUCCCACAAGGGAAAGCUUGAGAUCUGCUGAGGGAGGGUCCUGGGAAGAGGCCUUCUUCUGUUCUCCUGUACAGCAGAGGUGUUGGCAUGUGCACGUGUGUGUCUGCAUGUGUGUGCAUCUGUGAACAUCUGUCUGUGGCUCUCGUUCUGAGCACCUGUGUGUCUCUGCUUCUGCCUUGUUCUGUCUUGGCACCUCUGGGUGUCUGUAUGUCUUUUUCUAAUCCUGGCUUUCUUCUUGUGCUUCUCUGGGCCUCGUCUUUUCAUCUUUGUGUUUUUUGCUUACUGUAUUGUAAUAUCCAUUUCCAUGCUGGAAUUCUCCUACCAGACCAUGGACUCUGUGAGGGCAAAGACUGUCUUUUAUCUUCCCAUGUGUGCACAUAGUAGGAGCCUAGUACAUUUCUGUGGAGUAAAUGAAUGGAGAUCUGGCUCUGUUAAGAAUCCCUUAGUGUCUGUGUCUCUGGCUGCCUGACUUUCUGGGUCUCUGUGACCCUCAGAAGCUAGUUUUGUGGUUCUGUGUAGGGGUAUACCUGGUUUAUUCCCAUGCAUAUGUGUAUUUCUUGUGGUAGUUUUUCUCUCCUUGUCUAUGUCCGUUUCAGGUUUGUUGAUCUGCCUGAAUGUCUCUGCAUGUGGCCCCACAUCUCUCCUCAUGCCUGCUGGUCUCAGAGUAUAAUGGAUGCUGAGUCCAAAGCAGGUGUUUCCUGGGCAUUCGUGGCAGGGGAAUUGGACUUCCAAAUCUGCCCCCGCUCCACGUGGGUGAGCUUCUCCCAGACUCUCCAUCAUAAGAGGCUGUGAGCACCCGAAACUGAUCACCUUCUCAGCCUAGAAUGGGAGUGAGCUGUGGUCCUCUCCCUCUCUUCCUCUCACUGUGACCCCAAUCACAGCACCUGCCCUUCUCUAAUUGGCCGAUGUCAAUGGAAGGGGGAAGGGAAGGCUGAUGUCCAAGGAGGAAAUCCCAUUAGAGAACAAGCACCAAGCCCUGUGGAUUUCAGAAGAACUCCACCUCCACGGAGUCCUCAAAGAUCUUCUCCUGAACUCCGCACUCCCCAGCCUUGAGAGGAGACACAGGAGCUGGAGGAAGCAGCUUUAUCCCUCACUUUGUGGUUCAGUCCAGCCUGUUUUCCAAGGAGUAAAGGGCAGUGGAAGGAUAACUAAGAAAAUAAUAAUAACAAAUGAAAGCAUCUCUGUGGAGCUUCGAGAUGGUUUUGUGGUUUUGACAUCCUUGGUUUAUUGUGUCUGCUAUGCUUGUCAUUACAAGGAACUACAUCGUCUCUUUAGUGUGACCAACACAUGCUGGGUCCCUGCUAUGUGCCAAUCCAACCCUGUAAGAUGGAGGUCAUGACUAUUUCCAUUUUACAGAUGGGGAACUGUGGCUCAGAACCCAGAUCCCUUGACCCCAAGGCUCAUGAUUUUCCCGCAUGCCUUCCUGGGGAUGGCUCCAGCCGAUGGAGCCUGGGAUGAAGAGACCGACCAGCUCCCUGGACCACACCCUGUCCUUCUCCUUGUGGUUCCUUAGCUCUCCUUUCUUGUUGCUUCUGCCCUCAUCCUUUUCCUGAGUGGUCUCUCCUCAAGUGUGUGUCUGGUGCCCCAGGAAGCUCCUCUUUCACCCACCCCUCCACCACCUGCCCUGUUUGAUUUGACUUCAUUCAUCCGCUUGUCUAUUCAUCUACCUUUUUUCACCUAGCAAGCACUUGGCAGGCUUGGCCAGGCAUUGUGCUAGGCUCGGGUGUCCAGAGGUGAGGAAGACCUUUCAGAGCUCCCAAGCAAGAGAGGGCAGUACAUUCAAGGCCAAUACAUUGGGUUCGGCACUCCAAGGGCAGAGAAGAGAAACCAGCCUCCAACUUGGCCCUGUGAAAACUGGACUUUUCAUGUUGCACAUGACAAGGGUCCAGCCAGAAUGGCUAAAACAACCCACACUCUGGGGGCACC